This 2902-nucleotide ribosomal RNA is filed under the name Staphylococcus aureus subsp. aureus CIG1233. RNAcentral describes it as "bacterial LSU rRNA". It matches the Rfam family "Bacterial large subunit ribosomal RNA". Lineage: Bacteria; Bacillati; Bacillota; Bacilli; Caryophanales; Staphylococcaceae. The record is from RNAcentral.
ACGGUGGAUGCCUUGGCACUAGAAGCCGAUGAAGGACGUUACUAACGACGAUAUGCUUUGGGGAGCUGUAAGUAAGCUUUGAUCCAGAGAUUUCCGAAUGGGGAAACCCAGCAUGAGUUAUGUCAUGUUAUCGAUAUGUGAAUACAUAGCAUAUCAGAAGGCACACCCGGAGAACUGAAACAUCUUAGUACCCGGAGGAAGAGAAAGAAAAUUCGAUUCCCUUAGUAGCGGCGAGCGAAACGGGAAGAGCCCAAACCAACAAGCUUGCUUGUUGGGGUUGUAGGACACUCUAUACGGAGUUACAAAGGACGACAUUAGACGAAUCAUCUGGAAAGAUGAAUCAAAGAAGGUAAUAAUCCUGUAGUCGAAAAUGUUGUCUCUCUUGAGUGGAUCCUGAGUACGACGGAGCACGUGAAAUUCCGUCGGAAUCUGGGAGGACCAUCUCCUAAGGCUAAAUACUCUCUAGUGACCGAUAGUGAACCAGUACCGUGAGGGAAAGGUGAAAAGCACCCCGGAAGGGGAGUGAAAUAGAACCUGAAACCGUGUGCUUACAAGUAGUCAGAGCCCGUUAAUGGGUGAUGGCGUGCCUUUUGUAGAAUGAACCGGCGAGUUACGAUUUGAUGCAAGGUUAAGCAGUAAAUGUGGAGCCGUAGCGAAAGCGAGUCUGAAUAGGGCGUUUAGUAUUUGGUCGUAGACCCGAAACCAGGUGAUCUACCCUUGGUCAGGUUGAAGUUCAGGUAACACUGAAUGGAGGACCGAACCGACUUACGUUGAAAAGUGAGCGGAUGAACUGAGGGUAGCGGAGAAAUUCCAAUCGAACCUGGAGAUAGCUGGUUCUCUCCGAAAUAGCUUUAGGGCUAGCCUCAAGUGAUGAUUAUUGGAGGUAGAGCACUGUUUGGACGAGGGGCCCCUCUCGGGUUACCGAAUUCAGACAAACUCCGAAUGCCAAUUAAUUUAACUUGGGAGUCAGAACAUGGGUGAUAAGGUCCGUGUUCGAAAGGGAAACAGCCCAGACCACCAGCUAAGGUCCCAAAAUAUAUGUUAAGUGGAAAAGGAUGUGGCGUUGCCCAGACAACUAGGAUGUUGGCUUAGAAGCAGCCAUCAUUUAAAGAGUGCGUAAUAGCUCACUAGUCGAGUGACACUGCGCCGAAAAUGUACCGGGGCUAAACAUAUUACCGAAGCUGUGGAUUGUCCUUUGGACAAUGGUAGGAGAGCGUUCUAAGGGCGUUGAAGCAUGAUCGUAAGGACAUGUGGAGCGCUUAGAAGUGAGAAUGCCGGUGUGAGUAGCGAAAGACGGGUGAGAAUCCCGUCCACCGAUUGACUAAGGUUUCCAGAGGAAGGCUCGUCCGCUCUGGGUUAGUCGGGUCCUAAGCUGAGGCCGACAGGCGUAGGCGAUGGAUAACAGGUUGAUAUUCCUGUACCACCUAUAAUCGUUUUAAUCGAUGGGGGGACGCAGUAGGAUAGGCGAAGCGUGCGAUUGGAUUGCACGUCUAAGCAGUAAGGCUGAGUAUUAGGCAAAUCCGGUACUCAUUAAGGCUGAGCUGUGAUGGGGAGAAGACAUUGUGUCUUCGAGUCGUUGAUUUCACACUGCCGAGAAAAGCCUCUAGAUAGAAAAUAGGUGCCCGUACCGCAAACCGACACAGGUAGUCAAGAUGAGAAUUCUAAGGUGAGCGAGCGAACUCUCGUUAAGGAACUCGGCAAAAUGACCCCGUAACUUCGGGAGAAGGGGUGCUCUUUAGGGUUAACGCCCAGAAGAGCCGCAGUGAAUAGGCCCAAGCGACUGUUUAUCAAAAACACAGGUCUCUGCUAACCGUAAGGUGAUGUAUAGGGGCUGACGCCUGCCCGGUGCUGGAAGGUUAAGAGGAGUGGUUAGCUUCUGCGAAGCUACGAAUCGAAGCCCCAGUAAACGGCGGCCGUAACUAUAACGGUCCUAAGGUAGCGAAAUUCCUUGUCGGGUAAGUUCCGACCCGCACGAAAGGCGUAACGAUUUGGGCACUGUCUCAACGAGAGACUCGGUGAAAUCAUAGUACCUGUGAAGAUGCAGGUUACCCGCGACAGGACGGAAAGACCCCGUGGAGCUUUACUGUAGCCUGAUAUUGAAAUUCGGCACAGCUUGUACAGGAUAGGUAGGAGCCUUUGAAACGUGAGCGCUAGCUUACGUGGAGGCGCUGGUGGGAUACUACCCUAGCUGUGUUGGCUUUCUAACCCGCACCACUUAUCGUGGUGGGAGACAGUGUCAGGCGGGCAGUUUGACUGGGGCGGUCGCCUCCUAAAAGGUAACGGAGGCGCUCAAAGGUUCCCUCAGAAUGGUUGGAAAUCAUUCAUAGAGUGUAAAGGCAUAAGGGAGCUUGACUGCGAGACCUACAAGUCGAGCAGGGUCGAAAGACGGACUUAGUGAUCCGGUGGUUCCGCAUGGAAGGGCCAUCGCUCAACGGAUAAAAGCUACCCCGGGGAUAACAGGCUUAUCUCCCCCAAGAGUUCACAUCGACGGGGAGGUUUGGCACCUCGAUGUCGGCUCAUCGCAUCCUGGGGCUGUAGUCGGUCCCAAGGGUUGGGCUGUUCGCCCAUUAAAGCGGUACGCGAGCUGGGUUCAGAACGUCGUGAGACAGUUCGGUCCCUAUCCGUCGUGGGCGUAGGAAAUUUGAGAGGAGCUGUCCUUAGUACGAGAGGACCGGGAUGGACAUACCUCUGGUGUACCAGUUGUCGUGCCAACGGCAUAGCUGGGUAGCUAUGUGUGGACGGGAUAAGUGCUGAAAGCAUCUAAGCAUGAAGCCCCCCUCAAGAUGAGAUUUCCCAACUUCGGUUAUAAGAUCCCUCAAAGAUGAUGAGGUUAAUAGGUUCGAGGUGGAAGCAUGGUGACAUGUGGAGCUGACGAAUACUAAUCGAUCGAAGACUUAAUCAA